GACAGAGGUGCCAAGCGUUAGGCGGAAUCACUGGGCUUAAAAGCGUGUGUAGGCGGGUGCCUAAGUACCUUGUGAAAUCCCACGGCUCAACCGUGGAACUGCUGGGUAUACUGGGUGCCUUGGGUCAUCUAGGGGCUGCCGGAACAAAUGGUGGAGCGGUGAAAUGCGUAGAUAUCAUUUGGAACGCCAACGGCGAAAGCAGGCAGCUGGGGAUGCACCGACGCUGAGACACGAAAGCCAGGGGAGCGAACGGGA
Molecule: ribosomal RNA, 255 nt
Filed under: uncultured bacterium
Lineage: Bacteria
Description: partial 16S ribosomal RNA
Rfam family: Bacterial small subunit ribosomal RNA
Source: RNAcentral